This 485-nucleotide ribosomal RNA is filed under the name uncultured bacterium. Its description in RNAcentral is "bacterial SSU rRNA". It matches the Rfam family "Bacterial small subunit ribosomal RNA", at positions 30 to 507 of the family's 1533-position model. The record is from RNAcentral.
AUUGAACGCUGGCGGCAUGCCUUACACAUGCAAGUCGAACGGCAGCACGGGAGCAAUCCUGGUGGCGAGUGGCGAACGGGUGAGUAAUAUAUCGGAACGUGCCCAGUCGUAGGGGGAUAACGUAGCGAAAGCUACGCUAAUACCGCAUACGAUCUAUGGAUGAAAGCGGCGGAUCGCAAGACCUCGCGCGAUUGGAGCGGCCGAUAUCAGAUUAGGUAGUUGGUGAGGUAAAGGCUCACCAAGCCGACGAUCUGUAGCUGGUCUGAGAGGACGACCAGCCACACUGGGACCUGAGACACGGCCCAGACUCCUACGGGAGGCAGCAGUGGGGAAUUUUGGACAAUGGGCGCAAGCCUGAUCCAGCAAUGCCGCGUGCAGGAUGAAGGCCUUCGGGUUGUAAACUGCUUUGUACGGAACGAAACGGUGAGCUCUAAUACAGUUUGCUAAUGACGGUACCGUAAGAAUAAGCACCGGCUAACUACGUG